GAUGAACGCUAGCUACAGGCUUAACACAUGCAAGUCGAGGGGAAACGAUAGAGAAAGCUUGCUUUUUCUAGGCGUCGACCGGCGCACGGGUGAGUAACGCGUAUCCAACCUGCCCAUCACUUGGGGAUAACCUUGCGAAAGUAAGACUAAUACCCAAUGACGUCUCUAGAAGACAUCUGAAAGAGAUUAAAGAUUUAUCGGUGAUGGAUGGGGAUGCGUCUGAUUAGCUUGUUGGCGGGGUAACGGCCCACCAAGGCGACGAUCAGUAGGGGUUCUGAGAGGAAGGGCCCCCACAUUGGAACUGAGACACGGUCCAAACUCCUACGGGAGGCAGCAGUGGGGAAUAUUGGUCAAUGGGCGAGAGCGUGAACCAGCCAAGUAGCGUGCAGGAUGACGGCCCUAUGGGUUGUAAACUGCUUUUAUAAGGGAAUAAAGUGAGUCUCGUGAGACUUUUUGCAUGUACCUUAUGAAUAAGGACCGGCUAAUUCCGUGCCAGCAGCCGCGGUAA
This 508-nucleotide ribosomal RNA is filed under the name uncultured bacterium. RNAcentral's name for it is "partial 16S ribosomal RNA". It matches the Rfam family "Bacterial small subunit ribosomal RNA", at positions 28 to 523 of the family's 1533-position model. The record is from RNAcentral.